RNAcentral lists this ribosomal RNA (2903 nucleotides) under Klebsiella quasipneumoniae. RNAcentral describes it as "23S ribosomal RNA". It matches the Rfam family "Bacterial large subunit ribosomal RNA". Lineage: Bacteria; Pseudomonadati; Pseudomonadota; Gammaproteobacteria; Enterobacterales; Enterobacteriaceae. The record is from RNAcentral.
GGUUAAGCGACUAAGCGUACACGGUGGAUGCCCUGGCAGUCAGAGGCGAUGAAGGACGUGCUAAUCUGCGAAAAGCGUCGGUAAGGUGAUAUGAACCGUUAUAACCGGCGAUGUCCGAAUGGGGAAACCCAGUGUGAUUCGUCACACUAUCGUUAACUGAAUACAUAGGUUAACGAGGCGAACCGGGGGAACUGAAACAUCUAAGUACCCCGAGGAAAAGAAAUCAACCGAGAUUCCCCCAGUAGCGGCGAGCGAACGGGGAGCAGCCCAGAGUCUGAAUCAGCUUGUGUGUUAGUGGAACGGUCUGGAAAGUCCGACGGUACAGGGUGAUAGUCCCGUACACCAAAAUGCACAGGCUGUGAACUCGAAGAGUAGGGCGGGACACGUGGUAUCCUGUCUGAAUAUGGGGGGACCAUCCUCCAAGGCUAAAUACUCCUGACUGACCGAUAGUGAACCAGUACCGUGAGGGAAAGGCGAAAAGAACCCCGGCGAGGGGAGUGAAAAAGAACCUGAAACCGUGUACGUACAAGCAGUGGGAGCACCUUCGGGUGUGACUGCGUACCUUUUGUAUAAUGGGUCAGCGACUUAUAUUCUGUAGCAAGGUUAACCGUAUAGGGGAGCCGCAGGGAAACCGAGUCUUAACUGGGCGUUAAGUUGCAGGGUAUAGACCCGAAACCCGGUGAUCUAGCCAUGGGCAGGUUGAAGGUUGGGUAACACUAACUGGAGGACCGAACCGACUAAUGUUGAAAAAUUAGCGGAUGACUUGUGGCUGGGGGUGAAAGGCCAAUCAAACCGGGAGAUAGCUGGUUCUCCCCGAAAGCUAUUUAGGUAGCGCCUCGUGAACUCAUCUUCGGGGGUAGAGCACUGUUUCGGCUAGGGGGUCAUCCCGACUUACCAACCCGAUGCAAACUACGAAUACCGAAGAAUGUUAUCACGGGAGACACACGGCGGGUGCUAACGUCCGUCGUGAAGAGGGAAACAACCCAGACCGCCAGCUAAGGUCCCAAAGUCAUGGUUAAGUGGGAAACGAUGUGGGAAGGCACAGACAGCCAGGAUGUUGGCUUAGAAGCAGCCAUCAUUUAAAGAAAGCGUAAUAGCUCACUGGUCGAGUCGGCCUGCGCGGAAGAUGUAACGGGGCUAAACCAUGCACCGAAGCUGCGGCAGCGACGCUUAUGCGUUGUUGGGUAGGGGAGCGUUCUGUAAGCCUGCGAAGGUGACCUGUGAGGGUUGCUGGAGGUAUCAGAAGUGCGAAUGCUGACAUAAGUAACGAUAAAGCGGGUGAAAAGCCCGCUCGCCGGAAGACCAAGGGUUCCUGUCCAACGUUAAUCGGGGCAGGGUGAGUCGACCCCUAAGGCGAGGCCGAAAGGCGUAGUCGAUGGGAAACAGGUUAAUAUUCCUGUACUUGGUGUUACUGCGAAGGGGGGACGGAGAAGGCUAUGUUAGCCGGGCGACGGUUGUCCCGGUUUAAGCAUGUAGGCUGGUUAUCCAGGCAAAUCCGGAUAAUCAAGGCUGAGGUGUGAUGACGAGGCACUACGGUGCUGAAGUAACAAAUGCCCUGCUUCCAGGAAAAGCCUCUAAGCAUCAGGUAACAUCAAAUCGUACCCCAAACCGACACAGGUGGUCAGGUAGAGAAUACCAAGGCGCUUGAGAGAACUCGGGUGAAGGAACUAGGCAAAAUGGUGCCGUAACUUCGGGAGAAGGCACGCUGGUGUGUAGGUGAAGUCCCUGCGGAUGGAGCUGAGACCAGUCGAAGAUACCAGCUGGCUGCAACUGUUUAUUAAAAACACAGCACUGUGCAAACACGAAAGUGGACGUAUACGGUGUGACGCCUGCCCGGUGCCGGAAGGUUAAUUGAUGGGGUUAUCCGUAAGGAGAAGCUCUUGAUCGAAGCCCCGGUAAACGGCGGCCGUAACUAUAACGGUCCUAAGGUAGCGAAAUUCCUUGUCGGGUAAGUUCCGACCUGCACGAAUGGCGUAAUGAUGGCCAGGCUGUCUCCACCCGAGACUCAGUGAAAUUGAACUCGCUGUGAAGAUGCAGUGUACCCGCGGCAAGACGGAAAGACCCCGUGAACCUUUACUAUAGCUUGACACUGAACAUUGAGCCUUGAUGUGUAGGAUAGGUGGGAGGCUUUGAAGCGUGGACGCCAGUCUGCGUGGAGCCAACCUUGAAAUACCACCCUUUAAUGUUUGAUGUUCUAACGUUGGCCCCUUAUCGGGGUUGCGGACAGUGUCUGGUGGGUAGUUUGACUGGGGCGGUCUCCUCCCAAAGCGUAACGGAGGAGCACGAAGGUUAGCUAAUCCUGGUCGGACAUCAGGAGGUUAGUGCAAUGGCAUAAGCUAGCUUGACUGCGAGCGUGACGGCGCGAGCAGGUGCGAAAGCAGGUCAUAGUGAUCCGGUGGUUCUGAAUGGAAGGGCCAUCGCUCAACGGAUAAAAGGUACUCCGGGGAUAACAGGCUGAUACCGCCCAAGAGUUCAUAUCGACGGCGGUGUUUGGCACCUCGAUGUCGGCUCAUCACAUCCUGGGGCUGAAGUAGGUCCCAAGGGUAUGGCUGUUCGCCAUUUAAAGUGGUACGCGAGCUGGGUUUAGAACGUCGUGAGACAGUUCGGUCCCUAUCUGCCGUGGGCGCUGGAGAAUUGAGGGGGGCUGCUCCUAGUACGAGAGGACCGGAGUGGACGCAUCACUGGUGUUCGGGUUGUCAUGCCAAUGGCACUGCCCGGUAGCUAAAUGCGGAAGAGAUAAGUGCUGAAAGCAUCUAAGCACGAAACUUGCCCCGAGAUGAGUUCUCCCUGAGACUUUAAGUCUCCUGAAGGAACGUUAAAGACGAUGACGUUGAUAGGCCGGGUGUGUAAGCGCAGCGAUGCGUUGAGCUAACCGGUACUAAUGAACCGUGAGGCUUAACCUU